Anguilla anguilla (European eel) is the source of this 461-nucleotide non-coding RNA. The record is from the annotation of a RefSeq genome assembly. Lineage: Eukaryota; Metazoa; Chordata; Actinopteri; Anguilliformes; Anguillidae.
CUUUCACAGACACUGACACAGGCAACACUAUAAUGAUGUUGGUCGUUCUACUGCUCGUGAUGCUGGGACUCCUUGUACAAGAAUCAAUGGCAGAUAUAGUUCUGACUCAGUCUCCAGCAGCUCAGUCUAUUCAGCUGGGAGACACAGUCUCUAUCAACUGUACAGCCAGUCAGAGCGUUCACACCAACUCCAAUGGCCAUUAUCUCCACUGGUACCUGCAGAAACCUGGUCAGGCUCCUAAACUUCUGAUUUAUUAUGCCACGAGUCGCCAGUCUGGGAUUCCCGAUCGUUUCAGUGGGAGUGGAUCUGGGACUCAGUUUACACUGAAAAUCACUGGAGUCCAGGCUGAAGACGCAGGAGAUUAUUACUGUCAGAGUUUCCAUCUGAUCAGUGGUAGCUGGGUGUUCACACAGUGUUAGAGAGCUGUACAAAAACCUCCUUCAAUCAGACUGCACAGAGAC